GGUYUUUUGUGUAUAAUAGAAGAUUUGGCCUGCCCAAUGAUUAAUUAAAUGGCCGCGGUAUAUUGACCGUGCGAAGGUAGCGUAAUCAUUAGUCUUUUAAUUAGAGACUUGUAUGAAGGGUCUGACGAGAUGAGAACUGUCUCUUUCCUAUUCAUAGAAUUUUAACUUUGAGUGAAAAUGCUUAAAUUUUUAUAAAAGACGAGAAGACCCUAUAGAGUUUUAUAAUUUGUUGUUUUGAAAUUUUUGGUCUUUUAUUUUUGGAAUUAAUAGAAUUAUUUUGUUGGGGUGACAAGAAAAUUUAAUUAACUUUUCUUUGUUUUUAUAUUGAUUGAUAUACGGAUGAUCCACAAUUUGUGAUUGAGAGAUUAAAUUACCUUAGGGAUAACAGCGUUAUCUUCUCUGAGAGCUCAAAUCGAAGAGGGGGUUUGCGACCUCGAUGUUGGAUUAAAAUAAUGGUGUGGUGUAGCAGUCACAUUUAUAGGUCUGUUCGACCUUUAAAUUUUUACCUUUAAAUUUUUUGGUGUAGCAGUCACAUUUAUAGGUCUGUUCGACCUUUAAAUUUUUACCUUUAAAUUUUU
This 578-nucleotide ribosomal RNA is filed under the name Bostrichidae sp. 1 TN KLB-2011. Its description in RNAcentral is "partial 16S ribosomal RNA". It matches the Rfam family "Bacterial large subunit ribosomal RNA", at positions 1819 to 2656 of the family's 2925-position model. Lineage: Eukaryota; Metazoa; Arthropoda; Insecta; Coleoptera; Bostrichidae. The record is from RNAcentral.